Long non-coding RNA from Bos taurus (domestic cattle), 848 nucleotides. The record is from Ensembl. NCBI's taxonomy places the organism in Eukaryota, Metazoa, Chordata, Mammalia, Artiodactyla, Bovidae.
GCUUUAAGGCGUUAACCCUAGUAGUGGCUGGUUGGCAAAGACCGUGAUGCUGGGAGAGAUUGACGGCGGGAGGAGAAGGGCACGACACAGGAUGAGAUGGUGGGAUGGCGUCACCGACUCAAUGGACAUGAGCAAGCUCUGGGAGAUGGUGAAGGACAGGGAGGCCUGGCGUGCUGCAGUCCAUGGGGUCGCAAAGAAUCGGACAAGACUGAGCGACUGAACUGAACUGGUAUUGGCGAGUUCAGGUCCUUCUGCACCUUCUAAAUACUUAAGUAUGGUGAUGCCUACAGAAAGUACUUGCGCGCCCCUUGAGUGUUCACAUCUUGAGCGCGCCCUGCAGCGGCGCCCCAGGGAGGAGCCGAGCUCCCGGUCCACGGGAUUAGCGGGGCGCUGGAGGGGUCGCGUCUCUCCACAGCCGCGCAAGCCGGGGAUCGGCGGCGGCGGCCGCGUCCACAGCCCCCGGCCGCCCUAGGCGGUUCUCCGCGUGGCAUCCCCAUUAAUUUCGGGACACCCCUGUGAGGGGCCCUGGCCUUCCAGCUUGUAAGAGAGAGGAACCUUGAGCUCCGAAAGAUUCAGAACCUGGACUCUGGGAGCUGCGCCCACCGGCUACCCCGCAGGACCUGCGGCGGAGUCGGCGGGGCCUUCCCGCCCCUGGGUCAAGAGAGUUGUCUCCUGAGCCCCCAGCGCGGAGAUGCGAACUGUCGCUGCGUGCGGGCUACUCUGGGGUCUGCGGGGUGAUGGCCCAGACAGCAUAUCUCCGGGCUGUCCCCUCAGCCUGAAGACGCAAGCAUGACCGGGCGCCGUCUCCACUCACCUAGGGCCCCUCCACCAGGCUCUCCUGCUCCCCA